RNAcentral lists this ribosomal RNA (195 nucleotides) under uncultured bacterium. Its description in RNAcentral is "partial 16S ribosomal RNA". It matches the Rfam family "Bacterial small subunit ribosomal RNA", at positions 1307 to 1500 of the family's 1533-position model. The record is from RNAcentral.
GCAACUCGACUGCAUGAAGCUGGAAUCGCUAGUAAUCGCGAAUCAGAAUGUCGCGGUGAAUAACGUUCCCGGGUCUUGUACACACCGCCCGUCACACCAUGGGAGUUGGAAGCGCCCGAAGUCUGUGACCUAACCGUAAGGGAGGAGCAGCCGAAGGUGAAGCCAGUGACUGGGGUGAAGUCGUAACAAGGUACC